Daucus carota subsp. sativus is the source of this 942-nucleotide RNA transcript. It is a transcript of the gene named ubiquitin-conjugating enzyme E2 7-like, with no coding region annotated. NCBI's taxonomy places the organism in Eukaryota, Viridiplantae, Streptophyta, Magnoliopsida, Apiales, Apiaceae. The record is from RefSeq and is a predicted model, not a curated record. The transcript is spliced from 7 exons.
AGCACUAGUACAAAACCCACAAACUUAGCCUACCUUUCUCUCUUUGGCUCGCAUAGUAUUCCACGCCUGCUUGGAGCCAUUUUCAUCUCUCUCUUAUCUCUCGCUCUCUCUCUCGAUGGGUUCAGCCUCUCAAGCAAAUCUUCUCCUCCAAAAACAGCUCAAAGAUCUAUGUAAAAGACCACUGGAUGGCUUUUCUGCUGGUUUGGUUGAUGACAGCAAUAUCUAUGAAUGGAGUGUAACUAUUAUUGGACCUCCCGAUACUCUUUAUGACGGGGGCUAUUUUAAUGCAAUUAUGAGCUUUCCGCCGAACUACCCAAAUAGUCCUCCAUCAGUGAGGUUUACGUCUGAGAUGUGGCAUCCCAACGUAUAUUCUAAUGGGAAGGUUUGUAUAUCAAUUUUACAUCCUCCUGGCGAGGAUCCAAAUGGUUACGAGCUUGCAAGUGAGCGCUGGACACCCGUCCAUACUGUCGAGAGUAUACUAUUAAGUAUCAUUUCAAUGCUUUCUAGUCCGAAUGAUGAGUCUCCUGCCAAUAUUGAUGCUGCAAAACAGUGGAGAGAUAAGAAAGAUGAAUUCAAAAAAAAAGUCAGUAGGUGUGUCAGAAAAUCACAGGAGAUGUUUUGAUCUUAUGAAGGACAUUGUCUUACCAGUAAGUGAAGACUGCUUGCUACUGAUGCCUAGGUGGUGUGAUUAUUUUGGAUAGCCAACCGGAUAUCUGAAAUUAUGCUCUGGUUUGAAGUUUGUUAUGUUCUUCUCUUUUCAUUGGCAUUGGUAGAUAAGUUGAAGACUCUCCUGUCCUAUGUAAAACUGAUGUUGUAUUAACUGACCUAAAAAAUUUGAAUGAGCAAAUGUAGCUUAUUCAUGAAAGACCUAAUGAAAUCGUGUGUGUUGUUUGGAACUUCCUGGUGUGAGUCAAUGGGAAGGAAACAUUAAACUUCUGGUGA